Long non-coding RNA from Physeter macrocephalus (sperm whale), 5851 nucleotides. RefSeq lists it as uncharacterized. The transcript has 4 exons. The record is from RefSeq and is a predicted model, not a curated record. NCBI's taxonomy places the organism in Eukaryota, Metazoa, Chordata, Mammalia, Artiodactyla, Physeteridae.
CAUGAGCGUUCCCAGCCUGUGGUUUUAGUUGUCUGUGAGCAGUCACACACUGACUGGGUUGGCAAAGAACAUUCCUAUAGCAUCCUCCAGCCCCAGAGAACUGUAGCUGAAGGACUCCUUCCCAGCUGUAGAAAGGCAAUUAUUUCUAAACCAGCCCACUCACGUUAAACUCUUGUAUGAACAUAACAAAUGACAAAGGAGUUUGAAUCAUCUACAGUACAUCUGUGGAACUUGAGGAAACUUUGCCACAGGAUAGAUCAGACGAAGCCAACCAGCAUCCCUGAUGAAAAGUGAUUCCUGCUUUAAUUGAAAUGAGCGCUAUGAACAGCUGCCAGAAACUUCUCAUGGUAGAGAAACUGCCAGCAACCAGAUGAAGACACCUGUCCCGAUCUGCAUGUGGAGCCGUGAGCAGUCAUUUCCUAACUUGGCAGUGCUCCUUGCAGUAACAUUUCCAACACCACCUAGAGGACCAGGAAAUUCAGGCAGGCUGGCAACACCAGAGGUGGGCCUGAUCAGAUCUUUCUCGGCAAGUUCUUAUUCAAGAAAUAAGAGAAAAUGGAGUAUGCUGGGCAUUAAUCCCGAGAUGCUAUAGAGAAUUUUUUUGGAGGUUAACUGCUGAUUUGCAAAUAUGCAACUUUUCAAGUUUUGGUCUAUGUGGAUUUGGAAGAAAACUGAAAAAAGAUAUUGAGGAUAGUUUCAUUCCUUUCCUACUGAUGAGUCAGAGCACCCACUUCUACCAGCAUAAACAGAGAUGUGGGAGGAACAGUGUGGCAGGACCCAAUGAGCACUUGGUCAGUAAAUCAGGAUCUCUGACUUCUACAUCCAGAGUGUGUGACCAGGGGAAGUCCCAUCAACUCCUUGUGUCUCAGGAGUAUGAUAGCAUUUCCUUUGCUGAAUUCUGUUUCCAUAGAGGCAGGAACUUUGAAGAUGCACACAGUGAGUAACCACUUGCCAUCACUACUGUUACUCGUUACUUUAUCUUUCGUAAAAUUGUCUUAAUGAAUUUUCUUCUUUGCCACCAAUUUUGUGGUUUAGGAAGCUCAUCCUGUUUCUAAACAAUAAGAUAUUUAAGUCCCCAUCUUUAAGGUCCAUAAAUAAAAUAAUCACAUUCAUUCUUUUAUCAUUUUGGAUAUGAAAUGGGGCACGUUUGAUAGGGAAGCAAUAUGAAUUACAUUCAUCUCUUAAAAGUUGUCUGUCUUUGCACAUUCUUCUUAAUAUUUUUGAGGUUCAGUUUCCUUGUUAGUAAAGCAGAAAUAAUCAUUUUUUUCUCUGUCAACCAUCCAUGGUUGCUCUGGGUUGCAAAAAAGAGAUUCCAUAUAAGAAAUAGCUUCCAGUGGUAGAUAAACACAACGCCUCAUUAUUACUAAUCACUGUAGAGUUGCUAAUUUCUCACCACUGUUUUGAAAUUAUGAGUAGCUAUUGAGGUCUCGAUGAUACCUGAAUAACACAGCAAGAGACCUUAGAGGUGCCAGCAUGGAAUGAAAUCUCCAUGCUUAUGCAUGUUUUGUUUGUUUGUUUGUUUGUGCUAGGCGGGCCUCUCACUGUUGUGGCCUCUCCGGUUGUGGAGCACAGGCUCCGGACGCACAGGCUCAGCGGCCAUGGCUCACGGGCCCAGCCGCUACGCGGCAUGUGGGAUCUUCCCGGACCGGGGCACGAACCCGUGUCCCCUGCAUCGGCAGGCGGAUUCUCAACCACUGCGCCACCAGGGAAGCCCUCCAUGCUUAUGCAUUUUUGAUGAAGAAAGCACCUUCGCUAUGAUCUUUUCUAGCAUUUUUUUUUUUUUUUUUUUUUUAAUAUAUGUUCCUCAGACCUUUCAAAAGUUACUACAGGAGGUAAGAGGAAAUCCAAUUGACAGAGCCUCGGGGCCCUCUGUUUCCCUUUCAACCUAAGUAGUUCACUUGUAUCUACAUUUUUUUUUUCUUAUUUUUUUUUUUUCCCCCUGAGAUACAAUGAAAAGAAACAGCUUCUGGAUAUUCUGACUGACAUCUCUCCCUACCGCCCCUCCCCGCCACCCCCACGCACACAAACCCACAAACGAUAAAGUUUGAAAACUCCAGAUGGACUCCAGCCUCUUCAGUUAAUAGAUGAUGAAUUUGAAGCCCAAAGGGAUGAGUGAUUUUCCAAGGUUACCCACCCCCACUUCCGGUCAGGGGCGAUGUAAGGACUAAAUCCCGGUCCUGAAACCUCGACCAUCACCAUCUCAUCAUUCUGCCCCAUAAUGUGACUGGGAAGAUUUUCCGAUUCAGCAGUGUCACUUUUGGCUUUGUUUCAUUUUGUCUGGGGGUAGGCAUGGUAUAUGAACUGUAUUAUCAGAUUGAUCCACAUGGCACUAACAAUCCCCAAAGUAUCGCUUCAAAUGAUUCUCCUCUCAAAGUUACUGGCUUUCACCAAAAUAAACGUACCUCGUUAUCAUGCAGGUUGAGGCUUCAAUCUAGGUUUUCUACUUAGGAAAUACUUUUCCAGAUUAAGAUUCAGGUACCAACGAUUAUUCUGUGGAUCAUCAGCAAUUUCUUCUAUUUUAUACAAAAGCUAAAAUCAAAUAGAACUUAUUUUUUUUACAGCCCCUCUCUAGUAAGGUAACCACAGAAUUUAUUGCCCAAAUGAGGACAGUUUUGAGAGGUAAAAGAAACACAAUUAAUAAUUACUCUGGGAAUACUGAUGUGUAAAUUGGACUUCUUCUAGGCAAACUGGGAAGUGAGAUCACCCUGUUCAUUAACCAUCUUAUAGAUGUGUUUGAGCUAAGUGAGGGUGAACUAUUGGUUAACUGAACAUGACUUUCAGUCAUAAGUAUUUAAGGAUUGGUACUAAUUGCUUUUUUUUCUCCGAAAGAAUGGUAAUAUUAGCAAGAUCAGAUUCAAAAUUAAAGCACAAGAAGAGUAAAUGAAUUUACCUCUCUCCUCUCCCCUCCUGCCCACCCCGCUACUCUCUCACACACGUGCUGCGCGCGCGCGCGCGCACGCACACACACACACACACACACACACACACACACACAUUUUGGACACAAACUCUAAAAGCAAUUCAUUCUUAAUAAGGAAAAGGACUACUUUCUCUUUAAUAAAAUUCUAUCAAAGAAUACCCCUGAGACAAACUAUAUAAUCAGUUUAAACAUGGCUAAGAGACACUUGAUCAUUUCCCCACACUUCCUCUUUCAAAGAGAAAACAAAACAAAACAAGACCAACUAUUUUAAAUGGUAAUAAAAGAUACUUGACCUUAGUGAAGAAAAUAAGGCCUAGAGACUUUUUAUGUUUGUGGUUUUAUAAUAGUGACUUAGAGUCAAAGACUAUGGAAACCUGCUUUGGCUAAGCUGGCCCAUAGGGUUAACCAUUAUUUUGCUGAUGAUGAUUGAUUUCACUUAAACUAUUUCAUACUUUUUAACAUGAAAACAAAGCAAAAAGGUAUUUUUAAAACUUUUUAACCUGUUAUAUCUGCAGUGUCGCUCAUGGUAACUUUUGGUGACUGCCUUGAUAGAAAAUAUAUGAGGAUAGGAAAAUUUAUUUGCACAAAGAGAUAAAGAAAAAAAAACAUGUGAAAUACUGUAGGUGAAUCACUUCUCACAGUCAUUCUCUACAAUUGAACUUUCAGUGCAAACUUAAUGAGAGCAAAGAACUUACCUGUUGUGCUUGUUAUUGCAAUCCCUAGGUCCGGCAUGGUGACUGGCAUGUAGUAGGCAGUCAGUAUAUAUCUGAUAAACAUAAAGGCAUGAAUGAAUGAUCCUCAUUAGCUAAUUCAUAUUUACCUUUUACAGAUAUCACUGUGUCAGUUGGAUCUAGUGUAGAAUUGAUCUCAUAUUUGCAAAGACCAACUCUCCAAUCUUUCAAAGUCAUGCAUUUCCAGUUUAUUGGACAUUUCUUCUAAUUGUAGGACAGCUACUUAACUGGCACAUUUCAACCUAGGAUACUCAGGCCACACUUUUAAAACUUUUUCUCAUGUGGAAAAGUCUAUUGGGAACAUUAUCAACUAUAUGUGGCAUUUACCAAUGUUCCUCACCUUUAACUCUCUGGACAGGGUUCAUUUAUGGACCAAGGUGCCAAAAUUUACCAUAAGAUCCUCAUUUAUAAAUGCUCAUAUAGAGCAUGUUCUAUACUAUUUCAGAAAAUGGGAGAUCCGGUAGGAAUGGCCUUUCAGAAAAAUAAAACAGGAGCUAUGUUCUCCAUCUUUUUAACCUUGUUUUUUUAAUGACUUUUAGUUACUUUCAAAGAUCUGCUUUUAUCCUUCCCCCAGCCCCUUUCCUUAUGCAAAGAAUACAAAGAUUCUGGCUUUGUAUGCAGAAAUUUGGUUUUAUCAUUUAAACUUAAGGCAUCCUGAAAAACAAUGGACACAUUCAGUUGUCUCUGCAUAAGCAAGGAUCUUACCCUAUUUUAAGAGUAAAAUAAUUUUCACCAACAAAUAACUUAAUUUAACCAGUUUAUAAGCAACAAUCGUAUGUUAAGUAUCUUGUUUAGUUUUUCUUGUUCACAAUUUGCAAUAUUUUCCAGAAGUUCCUUACUAUAGCUUCGGGAAGUGGCUUUCAAUUUUUUUGACUAAAAAUUGGAGAGACACACGUUUAAUUCACAGCCAGGUACACACACACAACACACACACACACACAAUUAAAAUAAAAGUUUCUUGAAGCAAUACUUAUCUGAUUAUGUGUAAUGCAUUCUCAUACUUCCCAUUUUAUUCUAACAUAUAUUUCAAUUAUUUAAAAACAUUAGACCUUAAGUUUCUAUCUACUAAAUUGGUUUAUGAUCCACCAGCGAGUCAUAAAAUUUACAUGUUUAGAGAAAUUUUCAGUCAUGAUACAAAAAAGUUAUUACUGUUUUUAUUUUGUUACAUUUAUAUAUCAUUAUAUUAAUAUACAUUAAAUGCUUAUUAUUAUCGUUAUUAUUAUUAUUAAAGUCCUUCAGUCUUGCAAAAGAAUCCAGCAUGCCAUAAUGCUCAUAAACAAAACAUGUGAUGAGAAAUACAAGUCUUAAAUUUUUAGUUGCCUCUGUGGUGGACAGAGUUUUCCAACAUGGCCAUAACAAGAUAGCUCCUUCUCUUACAUGGUGAUACUGAUGUUUGUCCUAUUAAGGUAUGGCAUCUCUGGCCCCUUGAAUCUGUGUAGGUCUAUGUCUAUGGUGAGAGUGACACUACAUGACAAGUCAUAUACGGUGAUACGGUUUCUCCCUGGAAGCUCACUCUUAGUCCCUAGGCACCAGGCUGUGAAGAGAAAGAAAGAUGACAUAGAAAGGCCACAUGUAAGUGAUCUGGGUAACAGCCCCCAGUGAGGUCCAGCCAUAGCUGACAUCAAUGUCUAAACCUGUGAUUAAGUGAGAUCUCAGAUGAUUCCAGUCCUAGCCUUCGAGUUACUUCAAGUUUUUGAGUCUUCCCAGCCGAGAUCUCAGAAGUUGUUGAGCAGAAAUAAGCCAUCUAUGCUGUGCCUUUUCCAAAUUCCUGACCCACAGAAUAUAUGAACAUAAUAAAAUAAUUUUUGUUUUAUUCAAUUAAGUUUGGCUUUGUUGUGUCAUAAUAGCUUACUGUAACAACUUCCAAUUCUAUUCUAUCUUCAAAAGAUUUCAAAUUGAUGGUUUCUCCAAAAUAAUACUAUUGGAGUGUGUAAGAAGAGAAUUACUCUUCUGUACCAACCUCUAGGAGUAGAUCAUAAACAAUUGGUUAAUUCAAAAUACAAAAACUGUGUCUAUAUGCACUUUGAAGCAUAAUCAUUAUUAAUUUAAUAAUGGCUUGGGUUUGACUGUGUGAGGGCUUAGACUGUGUCUGUCUUAUUCUCAGCUAUAUGCUUAGUAACUAACACAAUACAUAUUUAUUGAGUGAAUAAGGAAUAUGCUGCCUGAAGCAACCCACAAACCACUUUUCUCUCUCCUUUUC